UACCAGCACCCCGAGUGGUCGGGACGAUUAUUGGGCCUAAAGCGUCCGUAGCCGGUCAUGCAAGUCCUCCGUUAAAUCCACCUGCUUAACAGAUGGGCUGCGGAGGAUACUACAAGGCUAGGAGGCGGAAGAGGCAAGCGGUACUCAGUGGGUAGGGGUAAAAUCCUCUGAUCCAUUGAAGACCACCAGUGGCGAAGGCGGCUUGCCAAUACGCGCUCGACGGUGAGGGAUGAAAGCUGGGGGAGCAAACCGG
This 253-nucleotide ribosomal RNA is filed under the name uncultured bacterium. RNAcentral's name for it is "partial 16S ribosomal RNA". It matches the Rfam family "Archaeal small subunit ribosomal RNA", at positions 474 to 727 of the family's 1478-position model. The record is from RNAcentral.